GAGAGAAAAAAAAAAUGCUCGACAUGAAAAACGAGGGAGAAAGGCCUCCUCUGUCAGCGGCGCAGCAAUGCCCCAAGUGGCAAUGGCCUGUCCGGCACAAUGUAAGCUAGCCUGCAAGCACACAGGCCACCUGCUGCGCACGCAAGGGGCUAGCUUGUGCACGCGUAGGGCUUAGGUGUGUUGGGCGCCACGCGCACAGGUCUACUGUGCUCAGGGCCUAGGCGCACAGGGGCCUAUCCACACGCAAGGGUCAGCACAGCCGACCCACCUGCGUGAACAGGACGCGCGCACAGACGAGAUGGGCGCGUUGCGCGCACUCCUGCAUCUAAUGUGCGAGCGUGCAUGCGCGCAUAGUGCGCAGGUAGCUUUCC
This 371-nucleotide long non-coding RNA is filed under the name Carica papaya (papaya). RNAcentral's name for it is "long non-coding RNA (CPAP_LNC004541)". Lineage: Eukaryota; Viridiplantae; Streptophyta; Magnoliopsida; Brassicales; Caricaceae. The record is from RNAcentral.